This 441-nucleotide ribosomal RNA is filed under the name Triticum aestivum (bread wheat). RNAcentral's name for it is "partial small subunit ribosomal RNA". The record is from RNAcentral. Lineage: Eukaryota; Viridiplantae; Streptophyta; Magnoliopsida; Poales; Poaceae.
AUGGGGAGGGUGCAGAUACGCGUGGUGAUGGUAAGCGUGGCGGUGGCUGCGCUGGUACUCGUCGCCGCCAUCCUGGGGUCGUUGACGGCGGCGAUGACGGCGGUGUUUUUGUACGCUGCGUCGCGGAACGUGGGAGGGUCGAACCUGCCCAGGCGGGGCCGCUACCACUCCAUGCGCGGCUGUAGAGUCUUCGAUCGCGGGGUCUUCUCGUCGGCGUCCGCCACGUCCGCCUUCGCGGCCUUCGUCGGGAUCACCGCCUACGUUUACCAGGAGACGGCGGAUACGGAUGAGUCGGAGGUAGCCAGCCCUGACGUCCCGUUGGAGCAGCGACCGCAUUUCCUGCCGCAGCAGUCAUACCCGGCCGUGGGAUACCCUGCUGCUCCUCCUCCCCCUCCACCGUACGGCGGCUACGGAGCCAAGGCACCUGCAGGCACAGCUUGA